AUAUCCUACAGAAACAUUGGAGUAAGUUUGGGAGAUUAGCAAGCACUAAAGUUUCACACAGUUUUAAAAGUACCAUAAUAUACUGGCAGACCAUAACUCAGUACUUUGCUUUGAGAUACUUUACUACAAUGUUCUUUGAGCCUUUACUCUUUGGAAAUUCAAAGGUUAGACUUUGCCCUUUUCAGCUCUUGGAUUUAACAGGGUAAAUCGUAAGCCCACACCUGUCUUCUGAAGUACAGAAAUACUGUUUCAAAACCAGUGCUUUGUCUCUUUAGACUUUGAAUUUAAUUUCUUACAGUGAAAACCAGUCCAUUCAGUAGUUUGGAUGAAUGGCAUGUGGCAACUUCCUGCUGUGUUCUGAGUCACGCAUGUCUGAGUAGAGCCAGAAUAAAUGGUACCUACAUGUGCAUGGCUGUGUAUUCUUUUUCUCCAAAAUGCUGAAAGCUUUAGCAUUCCCUUACUGUUAUUAAAUUUUGGGCUACUGUCCUUGGAAGAGCACACUCCUCCAUUUUUUCCCAUCUCCCAUCGCUUCCCCUUUCCCCCACUUUUCUUGAAGGAGCUAAUAAUGGGAAAAGAUGUUUCUCAUGGUGGGAGAUGGUUGCAGAAACGUGUUUCUCACCACCACAACUUAGAUGAACGUGGCACAGACAACAGCUUCAUGUUGCAGCUAGUCUGGAAACCCUUAUUAAGUCAUGUGCUUGUCAGCAUCAGGAGGUAAAAAUAUUUUAUGUAGCUUUGUGACUACCUGUCCUGAAUCACAAGAAACAAGCUACAGUAGGCCUGUUCCAGGCGUCACUAACAAGCAAAUUAAAUUAGUGUUCAAUCGGUCUGUUCUGACAAAUUGUCUUUAUCUUGGUUGAAAACAAAGUCCACAAGUAAGUUUUGUGGUUUAAACACAAGUGGAAACAUUCUAAUAUAGGAAUUUUGAGGAUUUUUUAAUUGCUUUUGUGAAAUGCUCUGAGCUUAUAUUUGUGUGCUUGGAAAUUACUUUAAAAUUCAUGUGGGGUUUUUUUUCUGCUUUUAUUUAUAAUCUUUUGAGCAAUUAGGACCUUUCUGUAACCACUGAAUUAACAAAAGUAACUUUUAUAUUUUUUUCUUUACUAAAGUAUCCAAACAUGAUAAGGAGUUGUUAGUAAAUUGUAUCAAGACCUUUGCAGACAUGAAGGUUAAGAGGAAUAUUAAAAACAAAUAGUGGUUUGAUUGGAAUUGUUCUGCAUGUGAGGUAGAACAGGUUCAUCCUGCUGCUUUUGAACUAAGCCAAGACUUAUUACAUAUUUGAUCUCAGCAGAGAGCAAAAUUAUUGAAAUAAGAUUUACUUUUGUUUAGACUAGCAAAACAGGUUAAAGAAAAUUAGUGUUCAGUUUUGAACUUCUGUUUAAACCAAAGCUAUACACCUUCCAUGUUCCAGAAGUUCUAAUCUUCCUUUGUAACAUCUGAAUCUAGAAAAGGGUUAUUUUACAUUUUUAGUGUUUUUAUUUUGUUGUUGCAUAAUUAAAGGCAUUUCUCAGGCAUAUUGGAAAGAACUAUGUGGAAAAAUACUACGAAAGAGCCAAGGAAUAAGAUUUCACUGUAAGGCAGUGCUGAAAAUUCAGGAGUCACUGACACCACUGUCAUAUUUUGCAGGCAGUACUUUUAUCUGUGCUAAGGAUUCUCCACCCGUGUUAUUGCUCUCCCUCAUGUUUUUUUUCCCCCUCUUUUUUGCUAUCUGUAAGAAAAUGUUAGGCUGGUUCUAAGAAUCCUGUCUCAAAUACCUACAUUGACUAUUAACAGUCUCUCUUUGGGUAAAAAUUGAAUACAGGUAAGGUUGCAAGACAUUGGAAACCAGUGCUUACCACAAAAAAACAUGCAGAAUGGCAGUACUGGAUAGAUGAACCUGAACUCCUUGUGGCUCAGUGUGCUGGAAUAAAACAUACAAUGCUACAUCAAGAAAGUUAAAUGCAUCAGUUCUCUGAGAUUCUCUUCAGUGCACAUUUGUACUAGCAAAGUAACAGUCACCUCUACUAAUACAACUUUACACAAUUUCCCAUGUCAGCUUUUGGGCAUUAUUGCAAAACUUGUAGCAUGGGAACCAAACAGGUUCUUACAAGACUAAGGGAGGUUAAAAAGUCCUAAACCCAACAGAGCUACAUCCGGUUUUGAGUUGGAGUGUAAGAAGAAAUGACAUUUCUGGUUUUGCUACUAUUUUGCUGCAUUCUGUUACUACUGUAGUCUAAUACCAUUUAUUGCUUAGUAUUUAUUUAUUUUAAAAUAUUACUAUAUUUUUUUGUCUGAAAGUGUCUCUCCUGUUUAAUCUACAGCUAAUUCUGAUGCUUUAGUAAAAGCUUACCUUUUCUUCUGUUCUCAGCUUAAGCUGAGAAAUACAGAUUUAUGAUAGUCAAGAGCUGUGUGUAAAGUUGGGAAUGGAGUAAGUUUUAGAGGCUUAAGAACCUCUCAUCUUACUGGGGAUGUACUGAACAACCAAAUGAAAUGGUGUUUUCAUUAACAGGCAUCUAGUAAACACAGUAUCCUAAUUAGUUUUGCUGUUGCUUAAACACUUGCUAGGUGAUUGAGUGUUAGUUUGGUUUUUUUUCUCUUUCAUUUUUCAUUGCAGUUCAUGCUGAAUUAUUUUAUUCUUUAAGGGUUUAAUCAAUUCUAAAAAUACACGUUUGGUAACAGUGCAACAAGUAGUAUUAUGUAAAAUUCUAGGAACUGUUUUAUAA
This is a long non-coding RNA of Empidonax traillii (willow flycatcher), 2699 nucleotides long. RefSeq lists it as uncharacterized. Lineage: Eukaryota; Metazoa; Chordata; Aves; Passeriformes; Tyrannidae. The record is from RefSeq and is a predicted model, not a curated record. The transcript has 2 exons.